Molecule: non-coding RNA, 135 nt
Organism: Triticum aestivum (bread wheat)
Lineage: Eukaryota; Viridiplantae; Streptophyta; Magnoliopsida; Poales; Poaceae
Source: Rfam
AUUCUACUCCCUACGUUCCGAAUUACUUGUCUUGGAUUUGUCUAGAUACGGAUGUAUCUAGACUCAUUUUAGUGCUAGAUAUCUUCGUAUCUAGAUAAAUCUAAGACAAGUAAUUCGGAACGGAGGAAGUAUGUC